GACGAACGCUGGCGGCGUGCUUAACACAUGCAAGUCGAACGGAAAGGCCCUGCUUUUGUGGGGUGCUCGAGUGGCGAACGGGUGAGUAACACGUGAGUAACCUGCCCUUGACUUUGGGAUAACUUCAGGAAACUGGGGCUAAUACCGGAUAGGAGCUCCUGCUGCAUGGUGGGGGUUGGAAAGUUUCGGCGGUUGGGGAUGGACCCGCGGCUUAUCAGCUUGUUGGUGGGGUAGUGGCUUACCAAGGCUUUGACGGGUAGCCGGCCUGAGAGGGUGACCGGCCACAUUGGGACUGAGAUACGGCCCAGACUCCUACGGGAGGCGGCAGUGGGGAAUAUUGCACAAUGGGCGGAAGCCUGAUGCAGCAACGCCGCGUGCGGGAUGACGGCCUUCGGGUUGUAAACCGCUUUCGCCUGUGACGAAGCGUGAGUGACGGUAAUGGGUAAAGAAGCACCGGCUAACUACGUG
This 468-nucleotide ribosomal RNA is filed under the name uncultured bacterium. Its description in RNAcentral is "partial 16S ribosomal RNA". It matches the Rfam family "Bacterial small subunit ribosomal RNA", at positions 28 to 507 of the family's 1533-position model. The record is from RNAcentral.